RNAcentral lists this ribosomal RNA (465 nucleotides) under Vreelandella stevensii. Its description in RNAcentral is "partial 16S ribosomal RNA". It matches the Rfam family "Bacterial small subunit ribosomal RNA", at positions 338 to 795 of the family's 1533-position model. Lineage: Bacteria; Pseudomonadati; Pseudomonadota; Gammaproteobacteria; Oceanospirillales; Halomonadaceae. The record is from RNAcentral.
CCUACGGGAGGCUGCAGUGGGGAAUAUUGGACAAUGGGGGGAACCCUGAUCCAGCCAUGCCGCGUGUGUGAAGAAGGCCCUCGGGUUGUAAAGCACUUUCAGUGAGGAAGAACGCCUGGUGGUUAAUACCCAUCAGGAAAGACAUCACUCACAGAAGAAGCACCGGCUAACUCCGUGCCAGCAGCCGCGGUAAUACGGAGGGUGCGAGCGUUAAUCGGAAUUACUGGGCGUAAAGCGCGCGUAGGUGGCUUGAUAAGCCGGUUGUGAAAGCCCCGGGCUCAACCUGGGAACGGCAUCCGGAACUGUCAAGCUAGAGUGAAGGAGAGGAAGGUAGAAUUCCCGGUGUAGCGGUGAAAUGCGUAGAGAUCGGGAGGAAUACCAGUGGCGAAGGCGGCCUUCUGGACUGACACUGACACUGAGGUGCGAAAGCGUGGGUAGCAAACAGGAUUAGAUACCCCAGUAGUC